Molecule: non-coding RNA, 3006 nt
Organism: Cyanistes caeruleus (blue tit)
Lineage: Eukaryota; Metazoa; Chordata; Aves; Passeriformes; Paridae
Source: RefSeq, a predicted model, not a curated record
AUAUUUGAUAAUAUCUGGCGUGCCUUUCUACAGGUGACCCCACGAAAGAAGUUCAAAUGUCCAGAAUGCACAGCAAUUGAUGGGUUAUCACUGGACCAGACACACAUGGUGGAAAGAUCUGAAUGCAUCAAUAAGUUUGCCUCUGUCUUUGGGACCAUGCCUCUCAAAGUGGUGGAACAUCGUGCUGACCCCGUCCUUUACAAAGAUGACUUUCCUGAGAAACUGAAGAGCUUUCCCAAUAUUGGCAGCUUAUAAAGAGAGAGACAAACCUCAGUGAGGAAAACAACAGCUGAAAAGGUGCUAUGAGGAAUAAGGCCCUGAGACAAAGCUUGCUGGAGAGUGGGUUGCAUCUGAGGGAGAUGGGAAUUAAUGUUGUUGUCUUCCUUUUGCAUUGCACAAAGUUGUAACUGAAAUCUGAACAACUGCUUCUCUGUUGCUCACAGAGAAUUGAAUCUAUUUGCGGGUUCUCCAAAAAAUGUCAAACGCUUUGACAUUUUUGUCCAAAGGAGGCUAUGCACCUGAAGAAUAAAAAAGAAUCUGGCUCUCUGGUCUGACUGGCAUGACCUCUUCUAUCAAAUGUGCUGCAAGCUCUCUGCUUAGUGAGCAUCCAUCCAUUGAAAGCAACUGUCUGCAAUGUAGAGCUGUUCUCUUUUGGGAGGAGUUGAUUUCCUGUGUGGCUGGUGGGCCUCUGUCUUUUGAGCUUUAACUGUUGUCUUAAGUAACUGUGAAACAAAUAUUUUCUUCUGUAAUAUGAGACAAAUGUUUAUUUUUUUACAACACCACAAAUGAAAAUCUGUUCUCACCUAGUUUAAAGAGCAAAGCAUUUUGUGUUACUUAAAUUAUUUUGAUGGAGAUGGAGACACAGCAGCUGGGAGGAUACUCUCCUUCAAAGCAGAGACCUGCAGGACAGAACUGCAAUUGCUGCACUUUCUGUGUAAAUCUCAGGUUUUCUGCUGCACUCAUGCAAAAGACUCAGACUCUAUAUCAGAACUAGUUGUAUUAUGCAGAAAAUUAUUUGUCUUUAGCCUUCUUAUAUUUUUUAUUUUCAUUAUCAAACCAGCAAUCAAGUUACAGUUUUAUAUUAUAGCCAUCCAUAGGGAUGAAGUAUGAAAUAAAUUUUUAAUGUCUGAAUCCUCUUCAGGAAGCAGCUUACUAAUCUGUAAAACACCUAUAUUUUCAGAAAUUCCUAGUUCAAGCUUCAAUGUACAGGCAAGUGUGUAUGUGUAAGACACUGUUAGCGCACACUUACAAACUCCUGUAAGUUACCACUGUUGGAAAAACUAUUGUGUCUUUGCUUGUAAUUUAAGGAACCCAUUGCCACAGGCUGAAACAUACAGCUUUAGGAAGUCCUUUGGAGAAGAUUUAUGUUUCUCAGAGGCAUUUGAAUUGUUUCACCAUACUGAAAUGAACCUCAAUGAGAAAACUAAAUGCAACAAAAUUAGAAAUAAAGUUGCCUGGACUGUUACACUUGCCCUUCAGUAUUAAUAGGGGUCCUAAAUUGUGCUGGGAAAGUAAUCUCUUUUCCAGCUCCACUGAUAAAAUGUUUGUUACUAGAUAAGUGUAAUUUCACUGUUUUUGGAACCUCUGUUGCUGCUGGUUACAGACACAUCCUACUUGAUGGGCUGUUUUUCUGUUACAGUGCAAGCAACCUUAUUCCUCAGAUUUGCCAAACCCCAAACAAUAGGACAAGUGUUAGACAUCAUGGCUCACCCCCUCUCCUAAGCUGGAUACGCAGAAAUGACAGAAACCAAAUGAAAGUCAGGCUAGAAACAGGAAACAUCUGCUCCUAUUUGUCUCACCCCCUCUAAGACUUAUCUUAUUGCCCAAUGCAGUGGAUGUGCUGUGAAUGAAAAUCAUAUUGGAACAAUAGCUUUGAGGGGAUGCUUCACUUCAUAACCUCCCUGGGAUGUGCCUGUAAACUGUAUCAUCUGACUCUCUGGGAGUGUUUAAUUACUAGUAAAUGGUUUUUGCUGCGCUCUUUGUUUCAUUCCUGAGUUGCUAUGGGAGCUAAAAGUAUAGCUGUUGCAGUGACAACUGAUGUCUGCACAGUGGCUAUCACAAUAGAGGAAGGUUUGUUACUCAUUAUUUCUCCUUUGCAGCCUUUCAGGUUUAUUAACAUAAACCUUCUUACUGAAUCUUCCUGUUGAUUUAUGAGCUGGUGCUUGAGCAUCAGGAGAUACCAGCACAUUUCCCUUGAGAAGUUUGCUUUAAAGGGUAGCUGUGACAGUGCAGUAGUUGCUUCAGUUUUAGCUGUCCUUUUAGAGCUGAUCUCAGCUUGGCAGGCCCUAGCAGUUUAACUGAGUUAUAACACUUUCUUUACAAAGUUGUGAAGCCACUGUGAUUUCUUGAUUCUUCCUCAGCAAGCCAGUAAAAAUCUUUGUUUUGCACAGAGUCUUAAGAGACACUGAGGAUUUGAAAUAGUUGGUUGAAUAUUUUUAGAUGUAAACAGCCAAACCAGUUCUGCUAAGAUGACCUAUAAUCUCCAGUCCAUAAAAAAGUAACAAGUCCUUGUGUCUGCAUCCAGGAGCAGCUGAGUAUUCUCCCUUUGCACAAAAUGUCCAGUGACCCCUAACAAUCAUGUUUUAUCCUUUGGCCUUUUACAGUUGCUUUUAUAGGGCUAGCUCAUUUACAACCCCAUUUGUCUCUGUUUAGUGCCAUGGAGAAAAUUAGGCAAUUGACCAUAAAGAAAAAUUGUAAAAUUGCCUACUUACUUGCUCUCUGCAUUUAUGAUUGUGAUGUUCUUGGUGCAAAUUCUGUAAAGGUAAGAUGUAAUUGUAUGUCUGAUUUGGAAUUGGGGUUUUGUCCAUCUUUAAAUUAAGAUAAUUUUUAACUUUUCAUUGUAUAUAUGAUAUCCAAAAAAGCUCAAUAGUUGUAUAUUAAAAAUUAAAUCACAUGAGUGUUUAUUGUAUUUCACUUCUGGACUGGCAUAAGGAAACAUGAAUUAAUUCAGAGGGGAGAAUUUCUGUGACAAACUCUUUUACUACAUAAAUCUGUGUUAAACUUGAA